RNAcentral lists this small RNA (41 nucleotides) under Arabidopsis thaliana (thale cress). Its description in RNAcentral is "ATSL175080". Lineage: Eukaryota; Viridiplantae; Streptophyta; Magnoliopsida; Brassicales; Brassicaceae. The record is from RNAcentral.
GUGUACCGUGCUUGAGAUGUUGACAGGAGAACGAGUCUGGU